This is a long non-coding RNA of Lagopus leucura (white-tailed ptarmigan), 1204 nucleotides long. RefSeq lists it as uncharacterized. The transcript has 3 exons. Lineage: Eukaryota; Metazoa; Chordata; Aves; Galliformes; Phasianidae. The record is from RefSeq and is a predicted model, not a curated record.
CAACAUCUGAACACACCAGUUGUGCCUCCUAAACACCUUCCAGACCAGCGUGCCCAGCACAGGAGCUCCGUGACAGAAGAAGCAAUAGAUUGGGCUCAGCUCCCGAGAGCUCCUGCUAUUUGUUUUCCAGAAGUCCUGCAAGGCACAAACUUCAGCUAUUCCGAAGGUGCGAGCAUUCCCAGAUGAUUUUCACCCUGGGGAAAAGGCAGAAUCCCCCACCCCAGGCGGGCACAGCGGGAGCAGCCAUCCUCCCCCAGCAAGAGGGCUGAGCGCCUCUGGAAACUCAUCUCAAAGCCUCAACACAUUGCACAGCCCUCCCAGUUAACAGCAAGGAACCUUAAGUCACGAGAACAUAAGUAAGGCAUGAGGUGUCAGCUGGGUGGCACGGGGAACAGCUUUGGGUGAAGUAGGAUCUCUCUAGAGGCUCCCGUGGCUUCGCCUGAAAUACACCCAACGUCACUGCAGGAUGUACCCACAGACCUUGCAGGCUGCCGAAUUGCAUCUGCUACAAAAAGCCCCAGCUCCUGAGCCUGGCUCCAGCCCUGCACGCUGCUGAAGGCACUGGGGCUGUGCUGAGGUCUGAGCUGCGUCAGGACCAGGACUGGAGGAGCACGGAGCACCGUGCAGGGUCUUCACCAGGCAGGGAUUUUCUACCUGCACCCUCAGGCAUCCAUGCUCUGCCUCCCAUAACACAUUUCUGCACAGAAAGGGAACGAGCCGCCUGAAAGCACCAGAUGUGCACCGUACUCACGUUCAUCUUCCAGAGCAGCUCUCCUCUUUCAAGCCAUUUUGUGAGAAAGCCCAGUCGCUCAUCGCCGCCUAAGGCAUUGCUGCCUGCGUGCCCUGCAAGGACCCGGGCUCCAGAGCAGCCCUUAAUCCAUCCAGCACCAAAGGUCCGGGCUCAGCCCUGCAGCUCAGGGAUGCCCGGUGCCACCAACUCGCUCUCCUCGGCUCCAGCCCGCGAUGGAUGGAGGUCCCCAGGCAGUGCCGAGCUCUCCAAAGCCGUCCCUUUUACGUUCUCCGACCUUGCGAGGAAAAUCCUGUCUCGUUUGAAUUAUUCAUCAUACUUUCUGUUCUGCCAGCUCCAGCACAACGUUCUGAAUCAUUAAUAUGUCAUGACUUUUUAUCUCCUUUUUUUUUUUUUUUUUUUUUUUUGACUUUUAUCUUCUCUCCGACACGACUCCCUUCUUUAAAAAUAACACAA